AUUAACUGAAUCCAUAGGUUAAUGAGGCGAACCGGGGGAACUGAAACAUCUAAGUACCCCGAGGAAAAGAAAUCAACCGAGAUUCCCCCAGUAGCGGCGAGCGAACGGGGAGCAGCCCAGAGCCUGAAUCAGUGUGUGUGUUAGUGGAAGCGUCUGGAAAGGCGCGCGAUACAGGGUGACAGCCCCGUACACAAAAAUGCACAUGCUGUGAGCUCGAUGAGUAGGGCGGGACACGUGGUAUCCUGUCUGAAUAUGGGGGGACCAUCCUCCAAGGCUAAAUACUCCUGACUGACCGAUAGUGAACCAGUACCGUGAGGGAAAGGCGAAAAGAACCCCGGCGAGGGGAGUGAAAAAGAACCUGAAACCGUGUACGUACAAGCAGUGGGAGCACGCUUAGGCGUGUGACUGCGUACCUUUUGUAUAAUGGGUCAGCGACUUAUAUUCUGUAGCAAGGUUAACCGAAUAGGGGAGCCGAAGGGAAACCGAGUCUUAACUGGGCGUUAAGUUGCAGGGUAUAGACCCGAAACCCGGUGAUCUAGCCAUGGGCAGGUUGAAGGUUGGGUAACACUAACUGGAGGACCGAACCGACUAAUGUUGAAAAAUUAGCGGAUGACUUGUGGCUGGGGGUGAAAGGCCAAUCAAACCGGGAGAUAGCUGGUUCUCCCCGAAAGCUAUUUAGGUAGCGCCUCGUGAAUUCAUCUCCGGGGGUAGAGCACUGUUUCGGCAAGGGGGUCAUCCCGACUUACCAACCCGAUGCAAACUGCGAAUACCGGAGAAUGUUAUCACGGGAGACACACGGCGGGUGCUAACGUCCGUCGUGAAGAGGGAAACAACCCAGACCGCCAGCUAAGGUCCCAAAGUCAUGGUUAAGUGGGAAACGAUGUGGGAAGGCCCAGACAGCCAGGAUGUUGGCUUAGAAGCAGCCAUCAUUUAAAGAAAGCGUAAUAGCUCACUGGUCGAGUCGGCCUGCGCGGAAGAUGUAACGGGGCUAAACCAUGCACCGAAGCUGCGGCAGCGACACUGUGUGUUGUUGGGUAGGGGAGCGUUCUGUAAGCCUGCGAAGGUGUGCUGUGAGGCAUGCUGGAGGUAUCAGAAGUGCGAAUGCUGACAUAAGUAACGAUAAAGCGGGUGAAAAGCCCGCUCGCCGGAAGACCAAGGGUUCCUGUCCAACGUUAAUCGGGGCAGGGUGAGUCGACCCCUAAGGCGAGGCCGAAAGGCGUAGUCGAUGGGAAACAGGUUAAUAUUCCUGUACUUGGUGUUACUGCGAAGGGGGGACGGAGAAGGCUAUGUUGGCCGGGCGACGGUUGUCCCGGUUUAAGCGUGUAGGCUGGUUUUCCAGGCAAAUCCGGAAAAUCAAGGCUGAGGCGUGAUGACGAGGCACUACGGUGCUGAAGCAACAAAUGCCCUGCUUCCAGGAAAAGCCUCUAAGCAUCAGGUAACAUCAAAUCGUACCCCAAACCGACACAGGUGGUCAGGUAGAGAAUACCAAGGCGCUUGAGAGAACUCGGGUGAAGGAACUAGGCAAAAUGGUGCCGUAACUUCGGGAGAAGGCACGCUGAUACGUAGGUGAAGUCCCUCGCGGAUGGAGCUGAAAUCAGUCGAAGAUACCAGCUGGCUGCAACUGUUUAUUAAAAACACAGCACUGUGCAAACACGAAAGUGGACGUAUACGGUGUGACGCCUGCCCGGUGCCGGAAGGUUAAUUGAUGGGGUCAGCGCAAGCGAAGCUCUUGAUCGAAGCCCCGGUAAACGGCGGCCGUAACUAUAACGGUCCUAAGGUAGCGAAAUUCCUUGUCGGGUAAGUUCCGACCUGCACGAAUGGCGUAAUGAUGGCCAGGCUGUCUCCACCCGAGACUCAGUGAAAUUGAACUCGCUGUGAAGAUGCAGUGUACCCGCGGCAAGACGGAAAGACCCCGUGAACCUUUACUAUAGCUUGACACUGAACAUUGAGCCUUGAUGUGUAGGAUAGGUGGGAGGCUUUGAAGUGUGGACGCCAGUCUGCAUGGAGCCGACCUUGAAAUACCACCCUUUAAUGUUUGAUGUUCUAACGUUGACCCGUAAUCCGGGUUGCGGACAGUGUCUGGUGGGUAGUUUGACUGGGGCGGUCUCCUCCUAAAGAGUAACGGAGGAGCACGAAGGUUGGCUAAUCCUGGUCGGACAUCAGGAGGUUAGUGCAAUGGCAUAAGCCAGCUUGACUGCGAGCGUGACGGCGCGAGCAGGUGCGAAAGCAGGUCAUAGUGAUCCGGUGGUUCUGAAUGGAAGGGCCAUCGCUCAACGGAUAAAAGGUACUCCGGGGAUAACAGGCUGAUACCGCCCAAGAGUUCAUAUCGACGGCGGUGUUUGGCACCUCGAUGUCGGCUCAUCACAUCCUGGGGCUGAAGUAGGUCCCAAGGGUAUGGCUGUUCGCCAUUUAAAGUGGUACGCGAGCUGGGUUUAGAACGUCGUGAGACAGUUCGGUCCCUAUCUGCCGUGGGCGCUGGAGAACUGAGGGGGGCUGCUCCUAGUACGAGAGGACCGGAGUGGACGCAUCACUGGUGUUCGGGUUGUCAUGCCAAUGGCACUGCCCGGUAGCUAAAUGCGGAAGAGAUAAGUGCUGAAAGCAUCUAAGCACGAAACUUGCCCCGAGAUGAGUUCUCCCUGACUCCUUGAGAGUCCUGAAGGAACGUUGAAGACGACGACGUU
This 2681-nucleotide ribosomal RNA is filed under the name Escherichia coli. Its description in RNAcentral is "partial 23S ribosomal RNA". It matches the Rfam family "Bacterial large subunit ribosomal RNA". The record is from RNAcentral. Lineage: Bacteria; Pseudomonadati; Pseudomonadota; Gammaproteobacteria; Enterobacterales; Enterobacteriaceae.